UGGCCAGUUUUAGGGCGCACGGUGGAUGCCUUGGCACCAGGAACCGAUGAAGGACGUGGGAAGGCCACGAUAAGCCCCGGGGAGUCGUCAACCAGGCUUUGAUCCGGGGGUGUCCGAAUGGGGAAACCCGGCAGUCGUCAUGGGGCUGUCACCCUUGCCUGAACACAUAGGGCAAGUGGAGGGAACGCGGGGAAGUGAAACAUCUCAGUACCCGCAGGAAGAGAAAACAACCGUGAUUCCCGGGAGUAGUGGCGAAGCGAAACCGGGAUGAGGCCAAACCGUAUGCGUGUGAGACCCGGCAGGGGGUUGCGUAUACGGGGUUGUGGGAUCUCUCUUGAUCAGUCUGCCCGGCUGGUCGACGAGUCAGAAACCGUUGAAUGUAGGCGAAGGACAAUGCGAAAGGUCCGGCGUAGAGGGUAAGACCCCGUAGUCGAAACAUAGCGGCUCGUUUGAGAGACACCCAAGUAGCACGGGGCCGAGAAAAUCCCGUGUGAAUCCUGGCGGGACCACCCGCUAAGCCUAAAUAUUCCCUGGUGACCGAUAGCGGAUAGUACCGGUGAGGGAAUGGUGAAAGUACCGCGGGAGCGGAGUGAAAUAGUACUGAAACCGUGUGCCUACAAGCCGUGGGAGCGUCGCGCUGUGUGUGCUUGCCCAUACAAGUCGUGACUGCGUGCCUUUUGAAGAAUGAGCCUGCGAGUUUGCGGUGUGUUGCGAGGUUAACCCGAGUGGGGAAGCCGUAGCGAAAGCCGGAGUCCCGAAUAGGGCGGUAUAGUUAGCGGCCUCAGACCCGGAAGCGGAGUGAAUCUAGCCAUGGGCAGGGUUGAAGCGGAAGGUAAGACCUUCGUGGAGGACCGAACCCACCAGGGUUGAAAACCCUGGGGGAUGACUGUGGUUAGGGGUGAAAAGGCCAAUCACUCCGUGAUAGCUGGUUCUCCCCGAAGGAUGCAUUUAGGUGCAGCGUCGUGUGUGUUCUUGCCGGAGGUUUAGACCACGUGGGAUAGGCGAUGGGCCCUAUCCGGGUUACCUGAACCUUAGCCCAAACUCGCGAAUGCCCGGUAAGUGAGAGCGCGGCAGUGAGAACUGUGGGGGAUAAGCUCCCAUGGUCGAGAGGGAAACAGCCCAGAGCAUCGGACUAAGGCCCCCUAAGCCGUACGCUCAGUUGGGAAAUGGAUUGUGGAAGUCCGCUAGAGUACAACCAGGAGGUUGGUCUUAGAAGCAGCCACCCUUGAAAGGUGGCGUAAUAGCUCACUGGUCUAGUGAUUCCCGCCGACAAUGUAGCGGGGCUCAAGCGUACCGCCGAAGUCCGUGUCAUUCCAGCAACAUACUCCCAACGGAAGGCUGGGAUGGGUAGGGAGCGUCGUGUGCGGGGUGAAGCAGCCGCGGAAGCGAGUUGUGGACGGUUCACGAGUGAGAAAUGCAGGCAUGAGUAGCGAUUACACACGUGAGAAACGUGUGCGCCGAUUGACCUAAGGGGUUCCUGGUCAAGCUGAUCUGCCCAGGGUAAGUCCGGGACCUAAGGCGAGGCCGACAGCGUAGUCGAUGAUAACCGGUUGAUAUUCCGGUACCCGCUGUGAAGCGUCAAACAUUGAAUCAGGCGAUGCUAGCCCGUGAAGCCGUUUCCGGACCCCUUCGGGGAAUGGAAGUGGUGGGAGCCGGCGGACCAGACUUGUAGUAGGUGAGUGGAUGGGGUGACGCAGGAAGGUAGUCCCAUCCCGGGCGGUGGUUGUCCCGGGGUAAGGGUGUAGCCCGAGUGGUAGGUAAAUCCGCCACUCAUGCAGGGUGAGACCUGAUGCCGAGCCGAUUGUGGUGAAGUGGAUGAUCCUAUGCUGUCGAGAAAAGCCCUCUAGCGAGUUUUAUGGCGGCCCGUACCCUAAAACCGACUCAGGGUGGUCAGGUAGAGAAUACCGAGGCGUUCGGGUGAACUAUGGUUAAGGAAACUCGGCAAAUGCCCCCGUAACUUCGGGAGAAGGGGGGCCAUGUCCGGUGAUGAGCUUCGCGCUCUGAGCUGGGGGUGGCCGCAGAGACCAGCGAGAAGCGACUGUUUACUAAAAACACAGGUCCGUGCGAAGCCGUAAGGCGAUGUAUACGGACUGACGCCUGCCCGGUGCUGGAACGUUAAGGGGACCGGUUAGUCACUCUUCGGGGUGGCGAAGCUGAGAACUUAAGCGCCAGUAAACGGCGGUGGUAACUAUAACCAUCCUAAGGUAGCGAAAUUCCUUGUCGGGUAAGUUCCGACCUGCACGAAUGGCGUAACGACUUCUCGACUGUCUCAACCAUAGGCCCGGUGAAAUUGCACUACGAGUAAAGAUGCUCGUUUCGCGCAGCAGGACGGAAAGACCCCGGGACCUUUACUCGUAGUGCAAUUUCACCGGGCCUAUGGUGAGACAGUCGAGAAGUCGUUACGCCAUUCGUGCAGGUCGGAACUUACCCGACAAGGAAUUCGCUACCUUAGGAUGGUUAUAGUUACCACCGCCGUUACUGGCGCUUAAGUUCUCAGCUUUCGCCACCCCGAAGAGUGGACUAACCGGUCCCCUUAACGUUUCCAGCACCGGGCAGGCGUCAGUCCGUAUACAUCGCCUUACGGCUUCGCACGGACCUGUGUUUUUUAGUAAACAGUCGCUUCUCGCUGGUCUCUGCGGCCACCCCCAGCUCAGAGCGCGAAGCUCAUCACCGGACAUGGCCCCCCUUCCUCCCGAAGGGGAUUCCGAGUCCAUAUCGACGGGAUGGUUUGGCACCUCGAUGUCGGCUCGUCGCAUCCUGGGGCUGGAGUCGGUCCCAAGGGUUGGGCUGUUCGCCCAUUAAAGCGGUACGCGAGCUGGGUUUAGAACGUCGUGAGACAGUUUCGGUCCCUAUCCGCUGCGCGCGCAGGAACAUUGAGAAGGGCUGUCCCUAGUACGAGAGGACCGGGACGGACGAACCUCUGGUGUGCCAGUUUGUUCUGCCAAGGGCAUGGCUGGUUGGCUACGUUCGGGAGGGAUAACCGCUGAAAGCAUCUAAGCG
Molecule: ribosomal RNA, 3000 nt
Filed under: Streptomyces sp. Ag82_G5-5
Lineage: Bacteria; Bacillati; Actinomycetota; Actinomycetes; Kitasatosporales; Streptomycetaceae
Description: bacterial LSU rRNA
Rfam family: Bacterial large subunit ribosomal RNA
Source: RNAcentral